Molecule: ribosomal RNA, 439 nt
Filed under: uncultured bacterium
Lineage: Bacteria
Description: partial 16S ribosomal RNA
Rfam family: Bacterial small subunit ribosomal RNA
Source: RNAcentral
CUACGGGUGGCACCAGUGAGGAAUAUUGCACAAUGGGGGGAACCCUGAUGCAGCAACGCCGCGUGGAGGAUGACGCAUUUCGGUGUGUAAACUCCUUUUAUAUGUCAAGAAAAUGACGGUAGCAUAUGAAUAAGCACCGGCUAACUCCGUGCCAGCAGCCGCGGUAAUACGGAGGGUGCAAGCGUUACUCGGAAUCACUGGGCGUAAAGGACGCGUAGGCGGGUUGGAAAGUCAGGUGUGAAAUCCUACAGCUUAACUGUAGAACUGCACUUGAAACUUCUAAUCUAGAGUAUGGGAGGGGAAGAUGGAAUUAGUGGUGUAGUGGUAAAAUCCGUAGAUAUCACUAGGAAUACCUAAAGCGAAGGCGAUCUCCUGGAACAUUACUGACGCUAAGGCGUGAAAGCGUGGGGAGCAAACAGGAUUAGAUACCCGGGUAGUC